This 460-nucleotide ribosomal RNA is filed under the name uncultured bacterium. RNAcentral describes it as "partial 16S ribosomal RNA". It matches the Rfam family "Bacterial small subunit ribosomal RNA", at positions 338 to 795 of the family's 1533-position model. The record is from RNAcentral.
CCUACGGGAGGCAGCAGUGAGGAAUAUUGGUCAAUGGGCGUACGCCUGAACCAGCCAAGUAGCGUGCAGGAAGACGGCCCUAUGGGUUGUAAACUGCUUUUAUGCGGGGAUAAAAUGCGUCACGCGUGGCGUUUCGUGGGUACCGCAUGAAUAAGGAUCGGCUAACUCCGUGCCAGCAGCCGCGGUAAUACGGAAGGUCCGGGCGUUAUCCGGAUUUAUUGGGUUUAAAGGGAGCGUAGGCCGGAUGUUAAGCGUGCCGUGAAAUGCCGUGGCUCAACCAUGGCACUGCGGUGCCAACUGGCUUGCGUGAGUGAGCGAGAGGUAUGCGGAAUUCGUGGUGUAGCGGUGAAAUGCUUAGAUAUCACGAAGAACUCCGAUUGCGAAGGCAGCAUACGGCAGCGCUACUGACGCUGAGGCACGAAAGCGCGGGUAUCGAACAGGAUUAGAUACCCGAGUAGUC